This 692-nucleotide unclassified non-coding RNA is filed under the name uncultured soil eukaryote. RNAcentral's name for it is "sequence contains 5.8S rRNA gene, ITS2, 28S rRNA gene". The stretch from base 273 to 692 matches the Rfam family "Eukaryotic large subunit ribosomal RNA", at positions 1 to 418 of the family's 3401-position model. The record is from RNAcentral.
UUGUCUCACCAAUAUAUAUCUAGGUUCCCAUAACGAAGAAGGACGUAGCAAUAUGCGUCAAUACAAUGUGACUUGCGGAAUUCAGAGAAUCAUCAGGUUGCUGAACGUAUUUUUUACAUUUGACUCCAGUCAGAUGUAUAUAUGUUUCAGGAUCAUGUAAUACAAAUGAUAUUGUGUUCUACAUAAUAUUUUUCAACAAUGUUACUCCAUGUUGACAUUGUAUCAACGAACACUUUCGAAAGAUAUAUUGGGAAGUGUGACUUUUCUUCCACAGAUCUGUAUUCAUAGAAGAUUACCCACUGAAUUUAAGCAUAUUAUUGAGUGGAGGUGAAAAGAAAGUAAAUACUAUUUCUUGAGUAAUGGCGAAUGAAAAAGAAUGUGCUCAUUAUGAAAAUCUGCUACAAGUAGUAGCUGAGUUGUAGUUUUGUGGAUGUCAACCAGUCGAAAUUCAAAGGGAAGUCUCUUGGAAUGGAGUAUAGUAAAAGGUGAAAAUCCUUUUAAUACUUUGCAAUUUUCGAUUUACGGUCGACAUUUUACGAGUCGCGCUCUUUUGAACUGGAGCGUUAAAGAAAGAUAUUUUUCUUUCAAAGCUUGAUACUGAUGGGAAGCCAAUAGAAAACAAGUACCAUGAGGGAAAGAUGAAAAGAACUUUGGAAAGAGAGUGAAAAGUGUUUGAGAUUGUUGAGAUAGAA